RNAcentral lists this ribosomal RNA (253 nucleotides) under uncultured bacterium. RNAcentral describes it as "partial 16S ribosomal RNA". It matches the Rfam family "Bacterial small subunit ribosomal RNA", at positions 524 to 776 of the family's 1533-position model. The record is from RNAcentral.
GACAGAGGUGCCGAGCGUUAGGCGGAAUCACUGGGCUUACAGCGUGUGUAGGCGGGCUGGCAAGUACCUUGUGAAAUCCCACGGCUCAACCGUGGAACGGCUGGGUAUACUGCCUGUCUUGAGCCAACUAGGGGCGAGCGGAACAGACGGUGGAGCGGUGAAAUGCGUAGAGAUCGGAAAGAACACCAACGGCGAAAGCACUCUGCUGGGCCGACACUGACACUGAGAGACGAAAGCUAGGGGAGCGAAUGGG